Molecule: transfer RNA, 69 nt
Filed under: Ictidomys tridecemlineatus (thirteen-lined ground squirrel)
Lineage: Eukaryota; Metazoa; Chordata; Mammalia; Rodentia; Sciuridae
Description: Spermophilus tridecemlineatus (thirteen-lined ground squirrel) tRNA
Rfam family: tRNA
About the family: Transfer RNA (tRNA) molecules are approximately 80 nucleotides in length. Their secondary structure includes four short double-helical elements and three loops (D, anti-codon, and T loops).
Source: Rfam by way of RNAcentral
GGGGUUGUGGCUCAGUGGAAGAGCACUUGCCUAGUGUGUGGGAGGCCCUGGGUUCGAUCCUCAGCACCA